This is a long non-coding RNA of Syngnathoides biaculeatus (alligator pipefish), 749 nucleotides long. RefSeq lists it as uncharacterized. NCBI's taxonomy places the organism in Eukaryota, Metazoa, Chordata, Actinopteri, Syngnathiformes, Syngnathidae. The record is from RefSeq and is a predicted model, not a curated record. The transcript has 3 exons.
CCCAACGCCUGAUCUGUCUCCCUCUGCCGCAACACUCCCGCCGCUUCCAAUGUCUUUCCUGUGCAGGCCUCGGACGUGUUCCCACACUGUGUGGGGGCAUCCCCUGGAACACACACAAAAGCACACGCGCCAGUUCCAGCUGAAGAAGAAAAACAGCCGCACUGCACGAUGCUGGCGGCGCCACAAUUUACAAUUACUCUUACAAGAACUUCUCCCUCGAGAGAGCACUGCCGUCACAGUCAACAAGUCAAAACCCUCCAGGUGAAAACUGAACCGGAAGAGAGUCGUACUUUAAAUGCGAUGAAUUCCCAUAUCACACACAGUGAGACCGGGUAGAAAAAAAAAAAGCCAGUGGAGUAGUAGUGUAGGUGUUAGUUUAUUGUAAUGAGAAACCCCCCCCCUCCCCCCCUGCAGCCCGGUUGAGUCAGAAACAUCUAUUAUUGCCUGAAGAACCAUGUGUCACAUUGGAAGAGGCGUCAGCGAUCAAAACCAUGAAUGCAUCCCACAACUUCAGGGCUCGGCCAUACUACCUAGAACUGUCCGUUUAUGUAAGUUGAAGUUUAUGCAAUGGAAAAGAGAGGACUGGUCUGAUCUUGUUUCAUUACCAUAAUUUAGGCAAAAUUAGGAAUCUGAUGUGAUAAAGGUGUUAGAUUUGGUUUGUGAUAUGUGUUUUGUACAAUUCGGUGUCAUUGAAACGGAACAACACUCGUGCUAAUCGCGGUUUACCUGCCGUGGGACGAGCUCGAUGC